AAUGAUAUGGACAGGAAAAGGCGUCCAAGGAGUUUGAGGUUAAUUUGGAAAAGGAAAAUAGCACUUGCUUCACAAUGUGCCAUUUAGGGAAAAAUAGGAAAUGAAUUAUUUGAGCAUGAUGAUAAACAUGACAAAUGAAAUAUUUUGCCAUAUUUGAGAAAGAUAUGACCCAAACAAUUUAUGAGAAUUAUUUGGGAAUUUUAGGAGUGAUGGAAAUAAAGGUUGCUUCACAACCUAGGGCAAUUUGAGUUAUUCCUUUAAUAGAAAAGGAAUAUUCCCAAUAAAAAGAAUAUUGGGAUUUGGGGUAGGAUGAAAAUGACAGGGUCUAGGGAAGGAUUUGGGAAUGACAAGCCACUCUGGAAACAAAGAACAGGGCAUCUUCUUCAGUUUCCAGACCACAAAGCCACGCAAAAAGAAAACUCAAGCAAAAAACCUCAGAAAAACAAAAGAAAAAGAAAGGGCCAAAACUCAGGCUAUCACAAACCUUACCCCCUUAAAGAAAUCUUGUCCUCGAGAUUUGGUUGCUUAGGGAACAAGUAUGAAGAUACUAACUUAAGGAAACCUUUUCCAACUCGGGUAUCCUUUUUCUUAUUUUUGUUCCCACUAAAUUUUUAUAUGACUGGCCAUGGGGUGGUUUGCUUUAAUAUAUCCAUAUUCUGACAGAUCUUACCUUGCUUGUUCAGGCUUAUACAGGCUCCAAUUACUUUUUAGAUCUGCUGACUUAGCUGACUGUGAUUGAUUCUCACGACUGAAAUAUAUGUCGGUCUCACAAAUCCAAGGGUGAUUUCCGUUGGGUGUGUCAUCCGACACUGACAAUCUUUCAUGAAGAGGUGAUCAGAUUUUUCUAGUGGACACCCAAGCUCUAACUCCUUGCAUUGGGUUUCUCCACUAAAUGCAGGUCCUUCGGGUUCCAAACAGUGAGUUGGGUCAUAACCGCUUUCCUGAUAGAUUCUGGCUUAUCGCGGAAGUUUCUGAAUCAUCUUAACUGGUUCCACUGUCUUGAGUAUCGGAUCCGUACCAAAUAUUUGAUUGUCGCCUGUCGUGGCUAGCAUAAGAGUUUGACCUGUAUGAUAAUAUCUGUAGACUUGACUGACGGUGGUUCUACACCACGCGGGUCUUGCAACAAUUUUCAUACCUACAUCACUGGUCUUGCUCCUUCAUUAUUGUUUUCUUGGUCUGGAUCCUUGGCUGAAAGAGCUGGGUCAUAUUGCUUCUUCGUAUCACCAUAGGUACUGUCGGUGCAAUUUUUCGGCAAUCGUAGCGUAUCCUCAUUUUUCUGACAGGGUACCCCAUUAAAUGGCAGGUUCGACACCCCUCAAGUUCUGACCGCAGGAAAAUGAUCAUCCGAACCUUUGCAAGAAAUCGGCAAAUAAAUCAGUAGCCACCAGAACGGUCUUUACAACUCAAAUCUGGGACAUUACUGAAAUAACUUAACCACGGCUCAGGACGGCCGAAAAGCAGCUCAGAACAUGAGACCGGGUUGAUAAGAAGAAGGUGGCAGCUCCCUAAAAUAGCUAAAAAGCAGCUAUAGGGCUACUGUCACAAAAAGAAACUCAACAGCUGUAUGAGACGGCCGAAAAGCAGCUCAGAGCUCGUGACAGUCAUUGAAGAGAGAAAUAAAAAUCGGCAUCCACCCUGGAUAGCUAAAAACAGCUUAGAUCAUAGGCAUGGUGCUGUCAUUGGAGAAAAAGGGGAGAAGGGCUCAUCAGGAUCAUUUUCCAGGUUCACAGGUACUUGUAUUGAGCUGAUUGAUGUCGUCAAUCCUCAUAAUCCUUUGUCACACUGUGGUGUAUACUGGCUUUCUUCUCUUAACCAUCCUCACGUGGUUGUCAGAUCCUCAUCCGAGUGACUUGUAAGAUCUUGGUGGUAUGCUCACCGCAUAUAUAUGAGAAUCUGAUUCCCGAGACAGACGUGUAUUCUGACUAAUUCUUGCUUCUGACCAAAAUGUUGCGGAUCUGAUUCUUGGGAUUCACUGCCAUAUGCUGUCAAUUCACAGCGUACUACCUUGUACCAAUGUCUUACUGAGGAAGAUUGGCUGGCUUGUGCUCGAAACUUUCAUCGGACAGCUUGCUGAAGAAGACUGGGUAUCGUGCUUCAGAAGCUUACCCCCUUAAAGACUUUGCUGGGGAAAGACUCAGUGCCUUAUGCUGGAAGCUUUUGCGGUUGCUUACUAAAGAAGGCAGAGUACCUUGUACGGGAAAUCAUCCAUGUAUCGUACUAAGGAAGAUAGAUGAAUCUUGCCUUGGAAGCUUCUCGGGUAUCUUGCGAUGGAAGAUCUGGUUGCUUACACCAGAAGCUUCUUAUUGUGAUAUGCGGACCGAUUUCCACAUAUAUAACCAUCUUAAUAUUUUUGUUAUUGAUUUCUUGUAUGAAACGGGGUUUUGCAGGACUAUCCUCCUUUCUGAGUACAUGCCAUAUUUUUGCUUGCUUCCAGGUACAUCGGGUUCCAAAAUCAUCCUCAACAAAAAAUUAAACUUGUAUCUGAGCCAUACCUUUGAUAAUAUUCUGUCAACCUUGCACACAAUUUAUCUUCUUGCUAAUUUGAUCAUAUCUGCUAUGAGGAGUGCAUGCUGAGGGAGACUUGACACUCAGUAACAUGAUCAGAUAUCCCCCAAUCUGAAUGCAGUCGGCUGAGAAUUCCAUACUGUUGUGAGGAGUGCACGUUAAUGCAAACUUUAUACUGACAUUCCAUCCAGGAUUUCUUUUGUAUUCAGACGAGCUAUUUCCAAUUUCACUGCAGUCUGCUGACAAUUCCAUUCUAUUUAGCUGAGUUUCCAAAUAUAUGCAUUUCUUGCUGAAUCUUCGGGUCCGGUGUCAGCUGACGAGCAACUUUAAUAGGGGGGAAAUUUGUAACACCGGAGGCCCAAAGAAAGAAACAAAAGAAACGACUAAAACAAAAGCACACAAGCAUACUACUAAUAUAAUUAAUCAAAGCAAUCAUCACAUAUUACUGCUACUCACACCAUAAUAUGCAUGCACACCUAAGCACACAAAUCGCGCGGAAACUCUGGUAUUACAGUCUAAUAUGCUAUGGCGGUGUGCACGAAAAUUAUAUCCAUGUGUGGAAGGAGUUGGCGUAACCGAAGCUACACUAAGCACUGGCUGAACAGUGGCUGGAUCUGGAUGGAUACACAGGUGAGGACGGACUUGACGAUCAAGUAGCAAGACACAAAAGUCACGACCACAUCAUCAUCAAGCGUACGAAAGGGAUUCAUACACGUCCAAAGAAUAGAAUGAGUGGGUAGGGUAGCGGUGGAAAAACAAGGCUCGCUAGCAUUGCCCUUUUCUGAUAACCAACAUCAGUAUGGGUUGCCAGAGGGACGAGAUGGAUGGCAUGAUUCGAGAUAGAAACAAGUCUAUCACCGAAAUAAUAUGGGUGGGUGGGGGAAAAUAUACGCGACACCUGAGCAUAACUCCUGCAAAUGGUGUCUGGAACUCUGGGUACCAGGGCAUCACUCUGUUGGGACAUAGAUGACGCCGAACACCAAAGAGCAGACAUGCUAAGAAGGAGGGUGCAGGCGGUGGACCGAAAACGAUGCCACCUACACUCACAAGAUUAACCGUUAGUGACAAAAUAAUAAUCUAUAUGCAUGCUAUGCGACAAACAAAUGCAACCAUCAAGUGCAACAAACCAACUGGGGUCUAUACUACCGCUUUCUAACGUUCGCAUUGCUAGGGCAUCCUACAGCCAGACCUGCUCUGAUACCAAGCGCUGGGGCACCCCGGCUCAGAGAAAACCGGAAUGCCCCGUAUUCCAGCCCAGAGAUCGAGGUGAAGUCUUCUGGAAUAUGGCACUUCUUAGUAUAGAACAAACCAGCUCUCUAUUACAACACGAAUAUGAAUACAAGGGUUCCGAUAUUACAAUGAAUAACAUCGGCACGGCGACACUACGCCUGCCACGCUUGCUCUAUACAAGCAGCAGAACAACUCGAAGCAGCGGAACAACUACUGUCAGUGGAACAAUGAACGACGAUGAUGGACUCCAAUCCGCAGGGACUCUGGCUGGAACGUUUAUCCUAGCUCGCGAACAUAGGAACAACACCAAACAAGCAAGCAAUCCAGGCACGACCUGCAAGCUAGCAUGACACGCCAGGUCAGUACAUUGAAUGUACUUGCAAGCUCACAAUAAACAGAAGCAUUCAACACAAACAACAGCAUGGCAAUUACAGGUUAAGCAGGAAUUAUCAUGAGAUCAUCAGGAUAACAUGGCAUGAACAACAUGAACAUAAUACUGCUAGAACAAUAUGAGCAUGGCAUGUACAUAUAAAUCUGACGAUACUAGCAUGCAACAUGAUGACACUGUAUGCACCAUUUAUUUUGCUCGGGUUACCUCGUAACCAUCAUAUGCAUCACCUACCAACCUCGGACAUCACACGAUCAUCUCAGGAUCAAAUCAAGCUUGGUAUAAACAAUACCGUGGUAAUCAUUAAAUGACCACAAGGAGCUUGAUAUAUACCCACGAUUCUCGCACAACAUCACGAAUAUCCAACAACUCGGUAUCCUCGAUACCACGGUGAUCAUUCACGGAUCACAAACGGAACCACUCUGGGCUCAACGGGUUACCUCGUAACCAAACGGUGAUCUUUCCGGCGAUCACAACCAUGAACAACACUUGGUCUCAAACGGUGAUCUUUCCGGCGAUCACAACCAACUUAUCUCCUCAACGAACCGGGGUUGUUAUUAAACACAUUAUUAUUAUUACUGUUGACCCAUAGUGUGACCGAAACAAACUAGACCCUUAUCCGCGGGCACGACUAUCGAUAGAUUUAAUAUACACUCUGCAGAGGUUAGUACACUGUACCCAUACCACAGAACCCAUGGCCUCGCACUCCCAUUUGGGUGGACCAAUGGCGUUCCGACAAAACUAUCCUACUGCCAUGACACUCUCCCGGUCACUCCGACAAACUCCCCUCUGGGAUAAGUCCUGGGUGGCCCCGUGCCUACCAAAGGCACCAACGGCCACCGUCGUGGCCAAACAAAAUGGUCCCAAACGGGGACAAAAGCGCUUAUCAUCCAACUACGGGCACACAAGGUUAUGUCUGCUUACCGGGCCAGGGUACCGCACGCCCAUAAGCUUCCCUCGUUGGAGGCACUGGCGAGAGGCACGAAAUAGACCCAGUUAGGACCUUCCCAUAAAGGUAAGUGUGGUUGCACUAGUCAGCUCAAUAUGGUGGCACCAUGACUCAGCCAACAGUUGUUCAAGUUCAAUUUAAUCCGGUUAAACUUGAAUGCAAAUAUGCUGAGCCAUGAUAAAAUAACAUGAUGCAAUUACAAUGCAUGAGCAUGAUAUCAACAUAAGCACGGGGUGCAACAUAACUAUCCACCAUAUCCAACUGAGCAUAGUAUAAUGACGAGCAUGAAUAUCACAAGUACAACACUACUCAUAGAAACCUAGCAUGACCACUAGCAUCAACAAUAAAUAUCAUGCAAGACAUAUCAACAAUGCUACCAUGCAAUCAUUUAACCAACUGGAUGCAAUGGAACAUGCAUAACGACGGCACUCGGAACAGACGAUAGUCAUGCACCGAAGGCCAUCACCAACAUCAACAUGUACUACUAGCAAGCAUAAGCAUAUGAAAGGAAUACUAGCAACUAGUACAAGAUUACCAGGUGCAAGAUAACAUAACACGAGAGUGAACAUGAAACUCUAAGCAGCAGCGGAACAACGAUAACCAUGUUUUAAACAAGCAAACAUUUAUUAAAUAUUCGAGUUUAAAACCAUGGCUACUGCAUGACUAUCAUGCAAGUGGGUAUUGUGGCUUGCCUCGGGUGAAGAAGGCACCGGGAAGAAGUGCGGUGAAGCCGCAAAAAGAUUUGCCGGAAACAGUUCUCUCCCGGAAGGGCUGUUUAUGUGCAAGGGAAAAAUGGUCAUUUUCAGAAUGUUAACACAUGGAGAAAGUGUGACCAACAGAACGGGCUGGACGAUACGAAGAAAUGGGCUUUGGAAUCACCUCAUUUGGAGUUACGAGUAAAAAGUUGUGAGGUGAGGAAGUUCAGGGACUAAUCUGCAAAAAUAUCAUCACAAACAAGCCCUUGAGUGGAUAAGGCAGAAGCAGAUUUCGGAAAAUACGCUUUCUAGAGAGGAAAGCGGAUUUGCGCCCGAAGAAGAAACGUAAUACGCUUACCCAAAGAGGAGCGCACUUCACGCGAUACGCUUUCUGCAGAUGAAAACGCACACGCCCGAAUACGUCUCCACUUGCCACGUCAGCGUCAGCGGGGUCAAUCCCCCGGGUCACUGACUGGUGGGGCCACGGGGUCCACGCGCUCGGUCAAAUCCCUCCUCCCACUCCUCCUCUUCUUCCCCCCGACGCGGGCGCAGAAUAGAGGGAGGGGGAGGGCUCAGAGGGCUCGGAUUUAAGCCGAGCUUCACGGCGGCCAUGACGGCAGAGAGAAGUGGGGAGGGGCUCUGGAGCUCGAGGGAGAUGCCGGGGAGGUUGCUGGAGGUGGUGUGAGGCUGGUGGUGAGGCCGAACAGCCUCGGGGUAGGCUAUAUAUAGGCGGGGCGAGGAGGGCAGGCCGUGGACGCGUGGUCGUGGCUUGGGUGCCGCCGCUCACGUCCGGCCAUGCUCUGGAGACGGCAGCAAUCAUGGGAGGGCGCGGGAUCACGACGAGGGAGGUGCGGACGAGCUACAGAGGCGCACAGGGCAAGAGGGGCCGAGGGGCACAGAGGAGAAGCGGCCGAACGCCAUUACAGCCUUGUCGGCUACAGCUCGCUCGUGGGCGCGCGGCGACGAGCACCGACGGAGAAGCUGACGGAGGGGGAAAUGGCUCCAGGAGGACGGCGACGACGCGGGGAACACGGUAGACAGGCCCGUGCUCGCUGAGAAGCCAAGCAGAGAAGGGGCCCGAGCAAGAAGACGUUCUGGGCGCGGCCAGUGUGUGCCAAAGCGGUGGUCACCGCGCGCACUGGUGCACACAGUGCCACACUAUCGCCCAAAUGGUGUCUGGGGUUUAGUCCUUCCUGGGUAGGUUGCCACUGAGGUGGUAGCUCGAUUAAAGACGAUGUGGUUAAAUGGUAAGUGAGCUCUGAAGUUUACUGCAGUAAACUUGAUCAUGAAACAGUGAUCAACUAAGGUGAGAUGAGAGGCAAACAAGUUGUCUGGUAGAUUUAGGUUAGGAAGGACUAUAGUCCUGGUAAUUAUGGAGGGGUUUGGCUCAAGGAUUAUUACAGUUGCUUAACAACUGCAUAAAUUGGUCCAAAAACAAGAUCAGGAAGAAGCACUCACAUAGAGUGAUGGAUUGAGCUGAAAAUGAACAUGGCAGGGUUAUUUGGUGAUAUGAAGCUGCUGUAAAAGUUUCAUGCCAUUUGGAAAUACCAAAGUGGCACUUGCUUCACAAAGCUUCACUCUGGACAGAAACUUGGAAAAAUUACACAGGGCAAUUGGAUUAACUAAUUGAGCUCAAACUUGGUGGAGGGAGUUGAUAUAGAUAGAAGCAUGUCCUGGUAAAGUUUCAGCUCAAUUGAAGCAAUAUAAAAUAUAGUUGCUUCACAAACUGAAAAUCUGACCAGAAUCUAAGAUUUGGAGCUGGGCUCACAUAGAUAAGUUACAUGAGCUCAAAUUUGGUGGACAGUCAUUAUUUUAUCAUAUGAAGGACCUUGCAAAAUUGCAUAUCAUUUGGAUAUGUCUAGCUUGUACUUCCUUCACAAAGCUUCUUUCUGGAUAGAAACUUUGGAAAAUCAUAAUUAAAUAAUUAUUAGGAAAAUGAGGUUGCAUUUUGGCAUGUGGCAAUGAUAUGGACAGGAAAAUGUGUCCAAGGAGUUUGAGGUCAAUUUGGAAAAGGAAAAUAGCACUUGCUUCACAAUGUGCCAUUUAGGGGAAAAUAGGAAAUGAAUUAUUUGAGCAUGAUGAUAAACAUGACAAAUGAAAUAUUUUGCCAUAUUUGAGAAAUAUAUGACCCAAACAAUUUAUGAGAAUUAUUUGGGAAUUUUAGGAGUGAUGGAAAUAAAGGUUGCUUCACAACCUAGGGCAAUUUGAGUUAUUCCUUUAAUAGAAAAGGAAUAUUCCCAAUAAAAAUAAUAUUGGGAUUUGGGGUAGGAUGAAAAUGACAGGGUCUAGGGAAGGAUUUGGGAAUGACAAGCCACUCUGGAAACAAAGAACAGGGCAUCUUCUUCAGUUUCCAGACCACAAAGCCACGGAAAAAGAAAACUCAAGCAAAACCUCAGAAAAACAAAAGAAAAAGAAA
This 8183-nucleotide long non-coding RNA is filed under the name Triticum aestivum (bread wheat). RNAcentral describes it as "long non-coding RNA (TAES_LNC018261)". The record is from RNAcentral. Lineage: Eukaryota; Viridiplantae; Streptophyta; Magnoliopsida; Poales; Poaceae.